CCUACGGGCGGCUGCAGUGGGGGAUAUUGCACAAUGGGGGAAACCCUGAUGCAGCGACGCCGCGUGAGUGAUGAAGUAUUUCGGUAUGUAAAGCUCUAUCAGCAGGGAAGAAAAAAGACGGUACCUGACUAAGAAGCCCCGGCUAACUACGUGCCAGCAGCCGCGGUAAUACGUAGGGGGCAAGCGUUAUCCGGAUUUACUGGGGGUAAAGGGAGCGUAGACGGCAGUGCAAGUCGGAAGUGAAAUCCCGGGGCUCAACCUGGGAACUGCAUUGGAAACUGUAUGGCUAGAGUGCUGGAGAGGUAAGCGGAAUUCCUAGUGUAGCGGUGAAAUGCGUAGAUAUUAGGAGGAACACCAGUGGCGAAGGCGGCUUACUGGACAGUAACUGACGUUGAGGCUCGAAAGCGUGGGGAGCAAACAGGAUUAGAUACCCUAGUAGUC
Molecule: ribosomal RNA, 441 nt
Filed under: uncultured bacterium
Lineage: Bacteria
Description: partial 16S ribosomal RNA
Rfam family: Bacterial small subunit ribosomal RNA
Source: RNAcentral